CACACGGACAAUUGUAUGUGGCUCUGUCAAGAGGUGUAUCUCGUGAGAGUACGUGGGUUCUUGUAAAGAGAAACAUGAACAUCGAUCCUGCUGGAAAGAGUACGGAGAAUAUUGUAUACAAAGAUGUCUUGUAAUCGUGAGGUAACACGCUUGGAGAUUAUGAGUGCAUAACCUCCUGGAUUAUCUGAAUGUUUUCAGCUGCUACAAUGCACUAUGAUUGAAUAAAUAUUUGGUGUACACGUGUAAACAUACCUAUUUUUAAUCUUGAUCUAUGACAUGUCUAUCAUGAGAUUAUUCUUAUAUAUAUAUUCUUGUUAGAAUUUUGUUGAGUGUGAACAAGAUUAUA
This is a long non-coding RNA of Panicum virgatum (switchgrass), 346 nucleotides long. RefSeq lists it as uncharacterized. Lineage: Eukaryota; Viridiplantae; Streptophyta; Magnoliopsida; Poales; Poaceae. The transcript is spliced from 2 exons. The record is from RefSeq and is a predicted model, not a curated record.